AUACUUGCCUGGAAGGGGAGAUACCAUGAUCCAGAGGUGGUUUUCCCAGGGUGAGGCCUACCCAUUGCACUCCAAAUGCAAUAACCUCUGUAAUUUCCCCAAACAUGGGCUAGUAGACUGCAUAAUUUGUGGUAGUGGGUUGCUACAUUUACUCUUUUCCCUAU
This is a small nuclear RNA of Nannospalax galili (Upper Galilee mountains blind mole rat), 164 nucleotides long. Its record names the gene U1. It matches the Rfam family "U1 spliceosomal RNA". From Rfam's summary of the family: U1 is a small nuclear RNA (snRNA) component of the spliceosome (involved in pre-mRNA splicing). Its 5' end forms complementary base pairs with the 5' splice junction, thus defining the 5' donor site of an intron. There are significant differences in sequence and secondary structure between metazoan and yeast U1 snRNAs, the latter being much longer (568 nucleotides as compared to 164 nucleotides in human). NCBI's taxonomy places the organism in Eukaryota, Metazoa, Chordata, Mammalia, Rodentia, Spalacidae. The record is from Ensembl.